AGUCCCUGGAGAGGUCUCACCCCUCACCGAGAUGCACUCAGGGCCUAUUAGAUGAAACAGACUCAAAAAGUUAACCAACUUGUCCAAGCUCAUAUAGCCAGCAAAGUGGAGAACAGGAAUUCAAAUCCAUGAAGUCUUUGCAGUCUCAACAGAAAAGAAACAAUAAAUAUCACAUUAUACGAUAAGCCAAGCAAGCAAGCAGAGAACUGGGGAUCCCACAAUAACGUCAAGGAAGAAGGCACCAUGACUCAGGACCCAGAGGUAGGCAAGUUCCAAGGACAGCACAGGGCAAGCCCGGCUGGGAGGGUGGCAGAAUUCCUUGAGUCUAGGUCCCUCUCAGGCUUGGCUGGAGAGCAAUCUAGGAAGUCCAGGGACCAAAAUAGUGGCAAUACUGGCCAAAGCACAGAUGCCCAGGUCCUGGCAAGAGGAUGGAGAAAACAUAUCUGGGUAUCAGGGUCACAAUAUAAGAAAUUAGUAAAGCUGACAGUUGCAACCUGAAGAUAGCGUUGAGUGUUGUCUAUCAAACUACAUCUAUUUUUAUUUGCAUGUUAAGAAUUUGAGUACUGGUGCCUAAUUGCUUUUAUCUUCUUAAGAUGGCUUUUAUGGAGUCAACUCUAAGCCAGACUUUGAUUCUCCUCUUUCAUCCCUUCUCCAACUUUUCCCAAACAUAUUUUCUCCCUACCUCCAUGUCUCUUUGUUCAAUAUGGCCUCUUCCUCUGCCUCUCAGUAUACUAAUACAGUGGAACGGUAUGGACACACAUACUUUACGCAAGUGUGCACACGUACAUAUACACACACUACUCAUGCUCAUAUAGGUCUAUUAGUAUUGCCUCCAAUAAUGGUAGUAGUGUCUUUUGGUCACUCAUUCAUUCAUUCAGCAAAGGUUUAUUUAAUACGCAUCAUGUGCCAGGACUGUGCUGGUGCUGAGGAGAGAAUAAUGAGCACAGGCAAAUAUACUCCUCCAGCUCCUGGAGUAUAUUACAGUCCAGUCUAGCAGGAGAGACCAUCAGAUAAUUGCACUAAUGAAUGAAAAGUCACCGUUAUUCAUGCAUUCAUUCCAAAAACAUUUAGCAUGUGCUGUUUUCCCAAGAGCUGGUGGCACACAAAGGAGAAACACUCCUGGACUCUGUCCUUGAAGAGCACAUGAGGAGCAGAAGAGCCAGGACGCAAACAUUUGUAUAGGACCUCCGAUGGACCAGGCACUGUGCUCAGUGCUUCACAGGAAUGAAUAAAAUUUCCACACCAGAAGCUGGAUGUCCCAGAUUGGUGAGUUAAAGUGCAGACUGGCCCAGUCCCACCGUCUUGAGUUUCCCUGUCGUUUGUUUUCUUCUUUAAUGAGUGAAACCUAAAGAAACCCCAGAUGGCUCCCUCCUUCUACAUCAACAGUGUCAACAUUGCAGGUUUCAACCCUAAAAGUGGGAAUAACAUUGAUCAAGUUCAGCCCCUGUCACUUUCUCUUUUAGCCAAGCUUAAUGUUGAGGUCAUCAUAUCCUCCAAAUCCCCUGCUAUGAGUCUCUUCCUGGGUGGAAGAUAUUUGAUGAUGUCACCACUCAUCAGCUUGAAAAUUGGUAGAGCCUCAGACACUGUGGGUGAGCGCAUCUUCAAGGUUUUUGUCCUUCCAGUCUUCACUUCAUUAAAAGUGCUCUUUCUAUAAUUUAUAGGGGUGACCCCAGAAGAAGCAGCAAGUGUCUACAUGACUCACACUAUUAGACAUUCCCUCCGCUGUAAAAAGAUGGCUCAGAGAGCUGCAGCACACCCGCUCAGUGCCACUCUGUGGCUAUGGAAAAUUGGGGGUGUGUGGGUUUCCUGUGUCAGAAAGUUGGCCCUGGUAGGGGCCUGAUCCUGGUGGCCAAGGCAGUAGGAAAACUUGUGGCCAGUGGCAGGAUAGGACUGUAUCCCCUUCCUCACCCCUGAAGCCAUCACAAAGGCAGAUUCUGGUUUCUUGAAUACUCCCUGAGCCAGCGUAGCUUCCACAAGUCGGGAAUCCAGAAGUGGAUUUAGACUAAUUGAUUAGCUUGGGGAAGCCCCUGUGUUGACUUUUACAACCUCCAGAAAUAAAUACCAUAUGAAUUCGACGUGAUUAAUGUGGACGCAAAUGUCAAAGAAAGUAAUGAAGAUUUGACACUUAUUAAAAAGUGUUGCCAGAAAAAUAUGAAUGAUUAUUUUAAUAUAAGCGCCAAGAGGAGCAUGUCUCCGUGCUUUUCUUUAAUUUCCCCACAGGCUUCUGUGCACGCCAUCCCCUUGUGAAGCAA
This is a long non-coding RNA of Diceros bicornis minor, 2252 nucleotides long. RefSeq lists it as uncharacterized. The record is from RefSeq and is a predicted model, not a curated record. The transcript has 4 exons. Lineage: Eukaryota; Metazoa; Chordata; Mammalia; Perissodactyla; Rhinocerotidae.